ACGCUGGCGGCAGGCCUAACACAUGCAAGUCGAGCGGUAGAGAGAAGCUUGCUUCUCUUGAGAGCGGCGGACGGGUGAGUAAUGCCUAGGAAUCUGCCUGGUAGUGGGGGAUAACGUCCGGAAACGGACGCUAAUACCGCAUACGUCCUACGGGAGAAAGCAGGGGACCUUCGGGCCUUGCGCUAUCAGAUGAGCCUAGGUCGGAUUAGCUAGUUGGUGGGGUAAUGGCUCACCAAGGCGACGAUCCGUAACUGGUCUGAGAGGAUGAUCAGUCACACUGGAACUGAGACACGGUCCAGACUCCUACGGGGAGGCAGCAGUGGGGAAUAUUGGACAAUGGGCGAAAGCCUGAUCCAGCCAUGCCGCGUGUGUGAAGAAGGUCUUCGGAUUGUAAAGCACUUUAAGUUGGGAGGAAGGGCAGUAAAUUAAUACUUUGCAGUUUUGACGUUACCGACAGAAUAAGCACCGGCUAACUCUGUGCCAGCAGCCGCGGUAAUACAGAGGGUGCAAGCGUUAAUCGGAAUUACUGGGCGUAAAGCGCGCGUAGGUGGUUCGUUAAGUUGGAUGUGAAAUCCCCGGGCUCAACCUGGGAACUGCAUUCAAAACUGACGAGCUAGAGUAUGGUAGAGGGUGGUGGAAUUUCCUGUGUAGCGGUGAAAUGCGUAGAUAUAGGAAGGAACACCAGUGGCGAAGGCGACCACCUGGACUGAUACUGACACUGAGGUGCGAAAGCGUGGGGAGCAAAC
RNAcentral lists this ribosomal RNA (746 nucleotides) under uncultured bacterium. Its description in RNAcentral is "bacterial SSU rRNA". It matches the Rfam family "Bacterial small subunit ribosomal RNA", at positions 33 to 773 of the family's 1533-position model. The record is from RNAcentral.